GUAAAUAAUAAAGGGCGUAUGGUGGAUGCCUAGGCUCUCAGAGGCGAUGAAGGACGUGAUAAGCUGCGAAAAGCUCCGUUUAGGUGCAAAUAACCUUUGAUGCGGAGAUCUCCGAAUGGGAUAACCCAAUAUGUUGAAGACAUAUUAUACCGUAAGGUAGGCAAACGCAGGGAACUGAAACAUCUAAGUACCUGCAGGAGAAGAAAACAAACGUGAUUCCCCCAGUAGCGGCGAGCGACCGGGGAAAAGCCCAAACCGUUAUUGUUUCGGCAUUAACGGGGUAGUAGGACUGCAAGCUUGAUGAAAUAAAUGAAAUGGAACACUUUGGAAAAUGUGAUCACAGAGGGUGAUAAUCCCGUACAUGCAAGUUUAUGAAUCAUAGCAGACUCCUGAGUAAGUCGGGACACGUGUAAUCCUGACCGAAUCCGCCGGGACCAUCCGGCAAGGCUAAAUACUCCUGAGAGACCGAUAGUGAACCAGUACCGUGAGGGAAAGGUGAAAAGCACUUCGAACAGAAGAGUGAAAUAGUCCCUGAACCCAUACGCCUACAAGCAGUCGGAGCCGCUUCGUGCGGUGACGGCGUGCCUUUUGCAUAAUGAGCCUACGAGUUACUCAUCACCAGCGAGGUUAAGUACUUCAGGUACGUAAGCCGAAGCGAAAGCGAGUCUGAAUAGGGCGUCAAGUUGGUGGUGGUAGACGCGAAACCUUAGUGAUCUACCCAUGGGCAGGGUGAAGGUUUGGUAACACAAACUGGAGGCCCGAACCGGUAAACGUUGAAAAGUUUUCGGAUGACCUGUGGGUAGGGGUGAAAGGCUAAUCAAGCUGGGAAAUAGCUCGUACUCUCCGAAAUGCAUUUAGGUGCAGCCUCUGUUGUUUUGUUCUAGAGGUAGAGCUACUGAUUGGAUGCGAGGGCUUCACCGCCUAUCAAAUCCGGCCAAACUCCGAAUGCUAGAACAUGAAGACAGGGAGUGAGCCAGCGGGUGCUAAGGUCCGUUGACGAAAGAGGGAGAACUCAGACCAGCAGCUAAGGUCCCCAAUUGUAUGCUAAGUUGGAAUAAAAACGGGGUGGGACUGCUUAGACAGCUAGGAUGUUGGCUUGGAAGCAGCCAUUCAUUUAAAGAGUGCGUAACAGCUCACUAGUCGAGCGGUCCUGCAUGGAUAAUACGCGGGCAUAAGCAUAUAACCGAAGCUAUGGGAUUGUAGAUGAUACAAUCGGUAGGAGAGCAUUCCAUUCAGCAUAGAAGCAGUACCGUGAGGUAUUGUGGAGCGGAUGGAAAAGCAAAUGUAGGCAUAAGUAACGAUAAUGCGGGUGAGAACCCCGCACGCCGAAAGAUCAAGGAUUCCCCGGCAAUGUCAAUCAUCCGGGGGUAAGUCGGAUCCUAAGGGUAAGCCGAGUGGCGAUCCCGAUGGCAAACAGGUUAAUAUUCCUGUACUGAUCAUAACUGCGAUGCAGCGACGCAGAGGUGACACUGCUGCGUACUGACGGAAUAGUACGUUGAAACCCGUAUUCUUUGAUACCGGUAGUGAAGCACGCCGGUAGAGAUGAAAGGUGAUAGUACCGCAAUGCUUCGGUUGCGCGGAUAACGCAGGUAAGCUGACUGCCAAGAAAACCUGCUAAGCUUCAGGUAAUGAUCAUCCGUACUGUAAACGGACACACGUGAUCAGGUAGAAAAUACUAAGGCGCUCGAGAGAUUCAUGGUUAAGGAACUAGGCAAAAUGGUCCUGUAACUUCGGGAUAAAGGACGCUCUUGUGAAAGAGCCGCAGAUAAUAGGCCCAGGCGACUGUUUACCAAAAACACAUGGCUAUGCUAAUUCGCAAGAAGAUGUAUAUGGCCUGACACCUGCCCGGUGCCGGAAGGUUAAGAGGAGAGCUCAGAUGUAAGUCGAAGGUUUGAAUUGAAGCCCCGGUAAACGGCGGCCGUAACUAUAACGGUCCUAAGGUAGCGAAAUUCCUUGUCGGGUAAGUUC
Molecule: ribosomal RNA, 1968 nt
Filed under: human gut metagenome
Description: bacterial LSU rRNA
Rfam family: Bacterial large subunit ribosomal RNA
Source: RNAcentral